Molecule: long non-coding RNA, 25814 nt
Filed under: Medicago truncatula (barrel medic)
Lineage: Eukaryota; Viridiplantae; Streptophyta; Magnoliopsida; Fabales; Fabaceae
Description: long non-coding RNA (MTRU_LNC004545)
Source: RNAcentral
UAUAAGCUUUGUUGUCAACAAACACAUUGGCACUUACUCCUUUCUUUACUCUCACCACAAUAGGCUUUCUUGGCAAGCAAGUUGUGUUAACACAACUACUCAAUUCAACAUUCUGUAGAGAAUAAGUGAAAAAAUGAGUCUCAAAUAAUUAUAUGUUUUCAUUAGUGUAAAGGCUCAAAAUGAGAUUUGGAUUGUGUUCAAACUUCACAACCCCAUGUCUGCACGUGAUCCAUUACAUUUAAUUUUAUUGUUCAACUUAUUUUCACACGGAUAUAUCUAAACAUAAACAGUUUUACCUUAAACUCACUUUUAACUAUAAUAAACUAAAUCAAAAUCAAUUUUGUCACCGUAGAAUCAAACAAAUACUUAUAAUUAGAUGAUGAAUCGCAGUUGAGCUCACCUUGAGUUUUCUUGCGAUUUCGAAGUAAGUUUUGUCAACUGGAACCCAAAAAGCAUGUUGCAAAACUUCAGGUGUUCCAUCCACAGGAAAAAUUUCCUCUGGUUGAUACCAAACCUUGCUCAAAAGAUUUUCCACUGAUUUUGAAUGCUUUGUGUAGUUAUUGUAAUUGGAAAACUUAAGAUAACCAAAUUCUUUGCUGAAAUCUACAUUCUCCUCAUCCUCAGGAUUAUCUCCAAACCUCUGCUAAGUUUAAUUAGAAAAGUUAGACUUAAAUCAAAAUUAUCAUAUUUAAGGUUAAAUGCACUUUUGAUCAUCUUAUUUUGUUUGAUUCACAAUUUUAAUCAUCUCGUUAUAAAUUCGAAAAUUAAAUCCCAAAACUUGAUUUUAGAAACUUUUGAACUUAUUUUUUUCUUCUUUUGAUAUACCAUGUUGAUUAAACUUACUUUGAAAUUGUGAUAAAAUAGAAUAAUUGUGAUAAAAUAGAAUAAUAAAAUUUAAUCCAUGCAUGCAUUGCCGCACUACUCUAUGACUCAGCAACUCAUUAUUCAACAUGACACAUCAGAAGAAAUAAGUUUAAGAAAAUUCAGCCAUGGAAAUUUUUUUUCUUCUGAAAUUUUAAAAUUAAUAGAUUGUAUUUUCAAUUUAAAAAUAAGGGAACUAAAAUAAUAAAUUAGAAAAUAGUGACCAUAACUAUUUAAUAUGUUUGAUUAGUUUAUUUUGCUUUCAAUCUCUCUUUUAUUUAAUCUUGUAGUAUAAAACUGAUCAUUUUUGGUUAGUUUAUGUUGCUUGCAAUCUGUCUUGUUUCAAUCUUGUAAUAAACAAUUGAUAGCUCUUUGACCAUUGAAUAUUGAGAGUGGUUUAACACACAAUUUGAACCAAGUUGGAUUAUUUUUGGGUUAAAUUAGUUGUUAGUCCUCAUAAAAUUAGAACCUGCAAGUUUAAUUCCAAUUUUUUUAAAAAGGAUUUUAAUCCUCUACGUAUUCAUCUCUUGCACAUUUUAGUCCUCCAAGGGGUUAAUGUUACAAACUUUAAAUAUGUGGAGGAUUCAAGUAUCUAUUUUUCUUAUAGAGACUAAACUUAGAAUAUUCCAAUUUUUUAAUAUCCACGGUUCAUUAUGAAUUAUAAAGUUUGAAAUUUUAAAUAAUUGAUAAUUAAGUGUCUAUACUUUUAAAUAAUUUAUAACUUAUCAAUUAUUGAUAAAUUUAAAGACCCAAUCACAAAAUUUUGUAGGGCAAGAAAUUAUUUAAAAAUCACCAAAUAAUUGAAGUAAUUUGUGCAUAUACCUGCCAAUGCCAAAGUCCAGUGUGAGCCCAAUACUGUGGAAUAGUUACAUCUCCAAUUUGGAAUUUAGAAUUUACAUUACCUGCAAUUCCAUAGUGGAGAACUCCUUUUACAUUAAACAAAGUAAGCAACAAUUGGGUAGCAAGACCUGCAUUUAGCUAAAAAAAAGAAAAGACUAAGAAAAACAAUGAAAUAUAAUUAUAACCAUAAGUUUAAAUAAAGCCAUAACAAUAAAAAAAACUCAAUUAUGAUUCUCCGCAAUAGAUGGCCAACAAAGGAUAACUUGGUGCGACGAUGUGUUAUUUCUCAUGAUUCUCAAUUAUGUGUUACAGGUUGUGGACAAAAUGAAACAAUAGACCACUUAAUUAUUCAUUGUCCUAUUUUUGGUAAUCUCUGGCAACAAAUUAAAACUUGGAUUGACAUGUUUUAUGUGGACCUCAUUAGGUUUUGGACCAUUAUUAUCAGUUUGUUUAUUCUUCAAGUGGUUAUGCUCCAAGAAGGUAUUUUCUUCAUUUGAUUUGGUUUUGUGGUAUUUGGGUUCUUUGGAAUGAAAGAAAUAAAAGACUGUUUAUCAACACAGCUAAAACAACAGAUCAACUUCUUGAGAAGGUUAAGAUUACAUCUCUCAAAUGGUUGAAAUCAAAAAAUACGUGCUUUCCUUUUGGUUAUCAUUUGUGGUGGCAGCGUCCCCUUGCUUGUUUAGAGAUUGACUGAUGUAUUUUUCGUUCAUGUCUUUUGUGGUUUGAUUGGAACUAUCUUGUAACCUUGUUUUGUCUCCUUUAACACUCCUUGUGUUAGGGAACAAAACUCUUUAUUAAUAUAUCUCAUUUUGCCUUGGUAAAAAAUAAAAAUAAAAAAAGCUCAACUUACCAUACUCAAUCCAGUCAUAACAACAAUAACCUUUUUCUUUUCCAAUUCACCAAUGCGAAAAUGUCUUCCUACAAUGUCAAGUUAACUAAAGUCAAUGCUUGUUUGGUUGUACGAUGAUAAAAUUUGAUUUUGAUUACAUCAACCAAAAUUAAUCACCAAAAGCUUAUGAAAUAGUUUGGAUACAACCAGACUUAGAUCCACUGCUAUAAAUAAAAUCCUAUAGUCGGCACAUAGUAACUGCGUGUAAUCCGACAAAAUCUGAUGCAAAAAGAACUAGAAGGCAUCAUGCAUAUGUGAUUAUGUAUACAUGUAUAAUCAAAUACUUGAAAACAUGUUGUAAAAAUUACCAGCAAAGUCAAAGUAAGGAAACUUGUUAUGUGGAACAAAGCUUGAUGAUUGAAGAAGAGGGUUCAACUCAAAGUCAUUUGGCACAACUAUACCAAUAUAUGGUCCUUUGUUAUUGAUAUUGCUGAUUUCUCUCCAAGAAAUUUGAGAAAUUGCACCAUAGGCCUUGAUGCUACUUCCCAAUAAUACCAUAACAAGGACAACCAGAAACUCCAUUUUAUUCCAAUGUUUAUACCAUUCUAGUACUCCAGACACGAAAUAUAUAUAUAUAUAUAUAUAUAAAUGCAGAUAGGGUUGUGAAAAUAUUAAUUAAUAACGUCACGCAAGAAAUGAACAAUGUAUGAAAAAAGGAAAAUGCUAAUCGGUGUUCCAAGUAAUCAAUACAUUAAAAGUUUAAAAAGUGUAAUUUUUGAUUUAAAAUUUCAUUUUUUGCCUUCCCGGAAACACCAGUUAGCAUGACCCAUAAAAAAAAAUAUAAGAGAUUCAAUUUGACUUAUACGAGGAGCCAUUCAAUCAUAUUAAUUUUAUAUAUCAACAUGUUUGUAUAGUUACUAAAUUAUAUUACACAUUAGCCUGUCAAACAAGAAAUGAAGAAGAGACAAAAAAAAAAAAAAGUUGUUGGAAAUGAAAAAGAGUCCAUGUCGUAGAAAUGCAAGUUACAGUCAUACCCCUUUUUUUAGGUGACGAGUCCAUUAAAAUAUUGACCGUUUUUUUUUCCCACCUAUGAGUUUCUCCCGUAUCCUAUGCAGUUUAGAUUUAAAAUCCCAACUGCAUAAAAAUCUUGAAAAACCUCCAAAAACACGUUGAAAUAUUUCAAUUUUUAGAAUCCGAAUAAUGCACGAGAGGACCUUGUAGGAUGAAAAAAAUAAUGACCUAAAAUAUUUUGAUUUUCAAGUGUCGUCAUAUGUUACACUACAACAUGGGCUUGGUGCACCCCACCAAACCAAGUCUAAAACCUUCUAUAAUAUUUGAUUACAUAUAUUAAACCUCUUUUUUGUUUGUAUUUAAAACUCUCUUAAUAAAUAAGUUGAUUUCAUAAGGUUUUUAUUUUGAGUACAUUUGAGUGCACAAUACAAGAGAGAACUUGAAACACAAUUUCUUUCUCCCUCUCAAAAUAUCUCCUGCUUACACUUUGAGAAACACAUUAUAACAAGGAUAUGAAUUUGACAAGAACAUCAAAUGCAUUUUGUGAGGCUAAUGAUAAAAAAGAUUAUACUUCAUUUUGUGAGGCUAAAUCAAACAAUGCUCUAAUUAAUGGCAAUGAAAGGAGUAUCACCAAAUUUGGAGUUCAAAUGAUCUCUACAAUCUCUGUUGUCAACAAACACAUUGACACUGACCCGUUUUUUUACUCUCACCACCAUAGGCUUUCUUGGCAAGCAAGUUGUCUUAACACAACUACUCAAUUCAACAUUCUGUAUAGAAUAAGUGAAAAGUUAACCUCAAAUUAUUAUAUAUUUUCAGUUAUGUAGUGACUGAAAUGAGAUUUGGGUUGUUUGGAGUCACACAGAGUUAAUCACAUAUGAACCGUCUGACCAAGAGCAGACAAUUUAGAUUUCAUGUUCGGUUUAGUAUAAUUUAAAAUAAAAUAAAAAUAUGUAUUGACAUUUGGAUCGUUUGACCUUGAUGGAAUGCUAUAAAUUUAGGUGACUGUAUGCGUACAACUAUACAAAACCCAAAUCCCUCAAAAUGAUGAUUAAAUCGAAAUUUGUAUUUUAUCAAGUAUCAAUUAUGUACUAGUUUUUAGACUAAGAUUUCUAACUGAAAAAAUUGAUUUUACAUCUUGCUGCUCCUAAUUUUAAACUAAUUUUAUCAAGUAGACUCAUUAUCAUGAUCUAGAUCAUACACCUUUUUAUUUCUCUCAAUAUCUCGUCCCCAUAUUUUUCCUCUCCCUUUAUCUCAAUAUCAACAUUGCAUUAGAAUGUAGUAGAAGUGAAUGGGGGAUGCAUGACACAAAUUCCCAUAUCUCUCUCUCUCACACACACUCUCUCGCUCAUAAUGCAACACAAACCAGAAUAGGUUGAACAUAAUUGAACCAUGAUUGAACAUAUUAUGCAAAAAAAGGUAGAAGGCAUCAUAUGCAUAUGUGAAUAUGUGAUUAUGUAUACAAAUGUAAUCAAAUAAUUGAAAACAUAUUGCUCUAAAAAUUACAAGCAAAGUCAAAGUAAGGAAACUUGUUAUGUGGCACAAAGCUUGAUGAAUGAAGAAAGCUGAUUUCUCUCCAAUAAAGCUGAUUAAUCACACAUUCACACCAUAGGCCUUUGAUGCUACUUUCCAAAUAAUACCAUUACAAGGACACCUAGAAACUCCAUUUUCUUCCAAUGGUUAUAUCUUUCUUGUAAUUCAAAGAUGAAAAGUAUAUAAUUGUGAAAAGUUAAAUAAUGUCACACAAGAAAUGAACAAAGUAUAAAAAAAACAUAGAGAAUCAAUUUGACUUUGAAAAUGAAGAUGUCAAAGUAUAUAUAUAUUAGUGUGUCAAUGUCAAACAAGAAAAUGAAGAUGAGACAAAAAAGAGAGUAGUAAGGGAGUCAAUUUAAUAACUAUGUUAAUGCUCUGAAAUAUCCGUUGAUUUUGCUGAAUCUCUCAGACCAACCACAUUUAUUUUAUCUACAAAAUUCAAAGCUGAUACGAUGCUUAAAAAACAUGGGUUCAGUUUUACUCAAACUAAGGUAUGUUGGUAAAACAACAUUACUUUUCUUUCAUCAACAUGAUCAAUUAAUGCACUUUUUAUUGAAUCAAUUUGGAUGUUUUUAUUUGGUUACCAUGUUAUUGAAACAAAGUCUUCACCGUCAUUUAACAAUGACUAAUAUCCAUUAAAAAACUUGCGCGACACACAAAGUGGGUUCUUUCCUCCAAACCAAAAUUUCUCCAUACAAGAGUCAAGAAUCGAACCCUUGCCACUUGCUUAAUAAUUAUUCCAAACAAAAAUAGAAUUAUAGAUAGUCCAAACAAAAAUAGAAUAAUAGAGUCCAGGCAAGUUCUCCCCCCUCAAAGAGAAUAAAAUUACAAAGAUAUGGGUUUUCCAUAUACAUAGGGGUGAAAAUAAUCUUAGCAAAGUUGUAUCAAAUGACAAGCUAAGUGUUGAAAAAAUCAUGAAAAUUGAGAAGCAUGAUUUCAUUGUUGGAAUGUAUACAUCUAGACAAAAUUUAGAUGUACACUUGCGAACCAUGCUAAAAAGUCAAUAUUUUGUUUCAUCAAUGGUUAGAAGUUGAAAUUCUAUUUGGCUUUCAGUUGCUUGGAUUAUUUUGAAGGAAUGUAACAUGCGUAUUUUUUGUAGGAAGGAGGAAAACUUGUGGGCUCUUUGUAAAAGGGUAAAGCUUCCGAGUCUCUUACUGCAAAAUUGAAUGUUUUUCGGCACCAAUCAUGCCAUUCCAAAUCUCUAUAUUUCUAAUCUCAAUGUUGUAGUAGAGAAAGAUAUCCAAAUUAAGAAGCAAAUUGAAAAUUUCACGAUCACAAUUAGGGUUAAAUAUUUUCUCAAAGACAACGUAAUAGUUGAAAUUUUUGGCUUUCAAGAGCUAUCUUGAAAGCCAAGAAUUUCAACUAGUACGUGUUUGAUAAAAUAUUUAACACAAAUUGUGAAACUUCAAAAUUUCUUCUAAAGACAAUUGUCUUUCUCUCCUACGAUAUUGAGAUGACAAAAAAGAUUGAUUACUUCAGAAAAUAAUUCAGUUUUGCCUCAGACAUGGAAGAUUUAGAAUGACACAACUGAUGUUGAAAGGGAGAUUCAGAUGGCUAAGGCAAAAUAUGAAGUUGAUGUAGCAUUUUUUUAACCAAAGUGAGUUUCUUCUAGUUUGAGAAAAUAUUUUUAAUAGUCUUAAAAUUUGUGCAAUAAGUUAUCUGUUUAUGUUCAAUUAUAGGAGUGAGAUAAAUAUAAGUAUGACAUAGACCUUGAUAUUAACACUCUUAAUGAUCUGACAAUGUGUGCUUGGAAUGAUGUACCUUAUAAAAACCCUUCAAAACAAAAAUAGUCAUUUAAACUAGAUUUCGAAUUCAUAAUUCGAUUACAUAGAGGGAAGGUAUUAACAUCCGUUCAAAAACGGUUAUCUCUAGUUAAUUGUGAAAAAACUUUGUUAACUUAAAUACAUUUAUUUUCUCCUUAAUAUUAGAUACAAGUUAAAAUUCAAGUUUUAAAUAAAAUGUAAAGUAUAUAGAGAGGAAAAUAUAAAAAUAUUUGUGUGUUGGGGGUAGAAAAUCAAAGUUACGUAGUUUUUUUUGGGUAGAAACGUUUGUUUCUUGAUUUGUUUUAAAGAAAAGAUUCUUCUUGCAAUGAUUUUAAAUCAGGCUCAAAUGCCUAUUAUGAAAAUAUAAUGAACUAAUAAUAUAAAACAAGACAGUAAUUAAUUAAUCUUUGAACAAAUAGUUAAAAUAUUAUUAAAGUAAACGAAAGGAAAAUAAAAUAAAAAGGAUGAUAGAUUAAUUAAAGGGAAGUAGUGAUAUGAGAGGUUGUGGUUUGAUUCAAGGAAACAUUGUGAAUGAUGGGUUUUUGAUGAAUAUAGCAGUGUAGUGUAGUGUUGUUUGCAAAAUAUGAAAACUCUCUCUUUUCUCUUUUAUAGACUUUAAUUUCAUCUAUUUAUCUAUCACUAUGACCAAGAUAUAAAUCUGAGUUCUUUGUUUUUGUAUGUUUUGACAGUAAAAAUGGAUUUGCAUGGAUAAAAAAUGGAAAAGAUGGAUUUCACUUUUGAUUGCUUGCAUUCUUGGUGAAAACUUUAAUCAUACUUUGGUAAAUAAAGAGGAGUACAAGCAAGUGAAGAUAGAAGAGGGUACAAAAAGAGCUCAAAAUGUAGAAACGAAAAAGCAACUAGUAAAAAGAAGUUGCGAUGGUGCUGAAAAUAGGGGUAUUCAAUGAAGUGUGAUGUUGCCACUAAUUUUAUUUUGAGUUUCUAAGUUUUGAUUUUUUUUUUUUUUUUUUUUUUGUAGUUUAGAGCAGUUACUUGCAUAGCAAGUAAUACGGGUAGUUAGUAUUUUAUGACUUUCUAACUUAUUGUGUGUAAACACACAUUAUAUACUAACUAGCCAUAUUACUUGCUAUGUAAGUAACUCUCUAAACUACUAUAACAGAAGUUGAAGCACGCUUUCAAUUUCAACACACUUCUUAAUUCUAUUUCUCUACUAAUGAAACUACAUUUAAGAAUGUUUUUUUUUUAUCUCUUCUAAUUUUUCUAUCUUCUACGAUUUAGUCUUAAUGUCAGCUAAUUGAUCCUCAGAACUGCAAAACACUAGUUCUAUUCUUCCUUUAUUAACUUGGUUUCGAUAUGUUUGCUCCUCCUAAGAGCUAUAGUAAUUCUCCAAUAGUUGCACUACAUCUCUUGGUCUUGGAUGCUUUUUAUUAUGUAAUUAAUGGAAGUUGGAACCAUAUAGCUUGGCAUGCUGCGUAACAAGCCGCAAUAUACUCAACUUCACAUGAUGAGAGGACAAUAAUUGUUUGUUUCUUUGAGCACCAAGAGAUUGGUUCUCCAAAGAGCUCAAACUCAUAACUCAUAGUGCUUCUCCUAUUUUUACUUUUAGUGCAUUGCAACCUAGUUUUUUUUCUUCCUAUUGACAACACUGGUUUGAACAAUAUUGUUCAUUGAAGCACAAUGAACAUUUAGAUUUUCGCUUGUCUUUGGAACUUUUGCAUCUAUUUAGAUUUGAACUUUCUUUUGGUGAAUAUAUAUUUUUUAGUGUAACUCCUUCUUUCUUUAUCUAUGUAUUGGUCUUGUAUGCGUAUGUAAAUAAUAAAUAUUAUCCUUCCCAGUGCGCGGACAAAUUACAAAUAUGCUACAUACCGAUUUGUGGUAUAACGAUUUCCUUGAGCUCAUCGGCUAUAUUCUGCUUUAGCAAUAAGUUAUACGAACUAAAGUUUAUGCAAAAGCAUGCACAAUCACUAUAUAAUGUUUGUCUUAUGUCUGUUGAGUCUAUCAUUUUACAACGGAGAGGACCAGAGGAUAAAUCAAGAGUAAGAGGCUUUUUAAUGCACAUGGUCCUCAUUUCUGAGGCAAGUAUCUGUAUUUUGUAGAGACAUUUGUGAUAUGAACAUCACAAUUAUGACUUGCAAAUAGGAAAACAAUAGAGUUUAGAAACACAUAAUUAUUAAAUGCACAUGUAUUUCUUGCGCGCAAUUUAAAGUUUAAUCACUCGAGUUAACCGAGUUCUUUGCAGUGCAUUGCUACUUUCCUCCCAUACCAGCAAUUCAAUAAGUUACAGCCAUCAUAGUCCAGUAUUAAUACACAAACAACAACCUAAUAAAUAUAUGAACUUGAUUUUCCUAAUUCUGCAAUCACUAAUCUUCCUAUUUCCUAAUUAAUCUCAAUUAUCUUGUUAGUUUUUAGAGUGCGCACGUGUCCCUUUAUUCAUCAAAAAUGACAACGAAGAGUCAAGACUGUCGCUUUUAAAAAAAUAAAAUUGAAGGUUGAAGACAAACAUUUUAUCGUGUGUUUACGAAUAACGAAUGAUAGAGAAAAUUUGAGAGAUAAAAAGAUUAUGAUGACCUAGUAGAAGAGAUGACAAUAUUAUUGCAUUUCAAAUUCAAUAAAGAAUAAUUAUAUUUCAUUUUGAGUAUAUAAUCUAAGAGAGAAUUUGAAACACAUAAUUUCUUUUUCCCUCUCAAAAUGACCCUUGCUCAUGAGAAAGGGAUUAAAGCUACUGAAUUAUAAUAAAGAUAUGAAUUUGACAAGAACAUGAAAUGCAUUUUGAGAGGCUAAAGAUAAGAAGAUAGAUGCUUCAUUGGACAAUGCUGAACCUCCUCCAGCAAAAUCAGACAAUGCUCUAAUGGCAAUGAAAGGUAUUUUGUGUUGGAAACAAACUAAAGCAACUGCAGCACUUUCCAUGUCUGUUGGAGUAGCAUCGAAUUUACAAUUCAAAUGAUCUCUAUAUGCUUUGUUGUCAACAAAUAUAUUGGCAGUGACCCCUUUCUUUACUCUCACCACAAUAGGCUUUCUUGGUAAGCAAGUUGUGUUUACACAACUACUCAAUUCAACAUUCUGUGGAGAAUAAGUAAAACAUUAGCCUCAAAUAAUUGUAUAUUUUGAUUUGUGUAGUGGCUGAAAUGAGUUUAGGGUUGUGUGUGGUCAUAUGCAUCCAAUCACACAUGAACUGUCCAACCAUGAUCAUCGGUUUAGAUUUCAAGAUCCGUAUAUUAUAAUAUAAAAAAAAAAAAUCAAAAUAUGUAUUGAAAUUUAGACCGUCCUAUGGACGGUCAGAAUUCAGCUAACUGCAGGCAGUCACACUACACACAAUUUAAAUCCCUCAAAAUGAUUACUAAAUCGAUAUUUUUAUUUAAUCAAUUAUCUAAUGACCUAGUUUAUUAAAUUUGAACCUUUAUUCUAUUGAAAUAUCUAGUGCAUGUUUGGAUUGACUCUUUAGAGAGUCAAAAGUGAUCCUUAUGACUUAAAAUUUAUUUUGGUGUGUUUGGAGAUUAUUAAAAUUUGUUUUUCAUCUAGAAUCUAUUCUAAUUUUAAACAAUGAUUAUAAUUUUAACUCUGCACGUAAUUUUUGCACUCAAAUUCAUUAUUCAACUAAUUUUCCUGUGAAUGUAACAAAACACAAAUAUUUUUAUCUUAGAACUUACUUUUAACUAAAAGAAAAUUUACAAUAUCAAUUAAUCAAAAUCAAAUUUUGUACGCAGAACCAAACAAACACUUGUAAUUAGAUGGUGAUUAGGGGGUUGAACUCACCUUGAGCUUUCUUGCAAUUUCAAAGUAAGUUUUGUCAACUGGAACCCAAAAAACAGGCUGCCAAACUUCAGGAGUUCCAUCAACAGGAAAAAUUCUCUCUGGUUGAUACCAAACCUUGUUCAACAAAUUUUCCUCUGAUUUGGAAUGUUUUGUGUAGUUAUUGUAAUUCGAAAACUUAAGAUAGCCCAAUUCUGUGCCGAAAUCUCCAAUGUCUUCACCAAAUCUCUGCUCAAUUAAAUCAUAAGAGUAAGAUGAAAUUAUUAUAUGGGUUUGGCAAAUCAAAGUUAUCACUUUAAAAGUAGUAAUUAAGACAUCUUUAAUAUGAAAUGCACAUGUUCCAAGUCAAAGUUAUCACUUUAAACUUCUUAACCAUUUAUUAGAUUAUAUUUGGCAACUCUUAAUGAGGCAAAUCAGAAUUGAAUGAGAAUUGAUAUGUAAUAUUCCUUGACAGUAGCUGUUUAAUUAGCUCAUGAGCUGUAUUGUAAUUAGUCAACUUGUAUAUCGUAGGCAUAUCAGUCAUGAGACACAAAUCUAGGAAAAACUGUAGGUGCCUAUUUGUGUAUAUAAUCUUCAUAUCUUUGAGAAAUAAAAGACACUGAACCAUUAUUUUACAUGGUAUCAGAGCCUUCCCUUUAUCAGUAAAAUUCACACACGACAGAAAUAAUGGCAGAAAAGAAUGAAUCUGAAAAGAAAAGGCCAUCACCUUACGAUCUCAAUUCCAAUGAUAACCCUGGAAAUGUAAUCACACAGGUGCAGCUGAAGGGUGAAAACUACGGUGAAUGGGCUAGUGCUAUGAAAACAUCUUUGAGAGCAAGAAGAAAAUGGGGCUUCAUUGAUGGAACCAUAGAGAAACCGAAAAAAGAAUCUGAAAUGGAGGAUUGGUGGACUGUUCAAUCCAUGUUGGUGUCAUGGAUCUUGAAUACAGUAGAACCUACAUUACGAUCAACCAUGUCGUAUAUGGAAACCGCCAAAGAGCUUUGGGAUGACAUCAAGGAAAGGUUUUCAGUUGCAAAUGGUCCACGGAUUCAGCAACUAAAAUCUGACUUGACUCAAUGCAAACAAGGUGGAUUGACCAUGGUGGCUUAUUACGGAAAGAUGAAGGCCUUGUGGGAUGACUUGGAAAACUAUGAACAGGUACCAAUUUGUACUUGUCAAGGCUGCAAAUGUGGUAUUGCAGCGAAACUUGAGAAACGCAGACAGGAAGAACGAUGUCAUCAAUUCUUGAUGGGACUAGAUGAUGUGCUUUAUGGAACUGUUCGUUCAAACUUGUUAUCCACAGAUCCUCUUCCAUCUUUAAAUAAGAUGUACUCUAUUCUGGUACAAGAAGAAAGGAUGCGGAAUGUCAUCCGAGGUAAAGAAGAAAGGACUGAGGUCAUGGCCUUGGCUGUUCAAACAGGUGCAAGGAUGAAAGGGCGCGAGAUCAAGAACAAAUCAGUUUGUACAAACUGUAACAGAUCUGGUCAUGAUGAAGCCGGCUGUUUCCUAUUGAUCGGAUAUCCCGAUUGGUGGGGUGAACGUCCAAGAAGUGAUGAUAACGCCAGUGGACGAGGAAGAGGACAUAAUCGUAGUGGAAGUAGCAGUGGACGUGCACAAAAGAGCGUCGUACGUGCGCAUGCCGUCCAAAGUCUGGGAUCUAGCGGAGAUGGAGAAAAUUCUGUCAUGACAGGACUAAGUAGGGAGCAAUGGCAGACUUUGAUGGAUAUGCUCAACACUUCCAAGGUCACUCCAAAUGAAAGCAUGACUGGUAAGACUAAACUCAAUUUAUGGAUUUUGGACAGUGGGGCUUCCAAUCAUAUGACAGGAACCUUACAACACUUGUGUGACGUACGAGAAGUAUUGGGGUGUCCUGUUGGACUUCCUAACGGAGACACUACCACUUCAACUAAGGAAGGGACAGUAAAGCUUGCUGAUGGCUUGAAACUAAAAAACGUGCUUUAUGUUCCUCAGCUGAAAUGCAAUUUAAUCUCUAUAUCACAACUGUCAGAUGAAUCUCAAUGCAAUGUCCAGUUCACUGCUAAUUUAUGUGUUAUACAGGACUUCACUUUGAAGAUGCUGAUUGGUCUGGGUGAACGAAGGGACAGAUUCUACUUUUUCCAAGAAAUUCCAAAAUUGAAGGCUUGCAGAGUUGAAGGGAUGAAUCAACUAGAAGUAUGACACAAGCGUUUGGGACAUCCAUCUUGGAAAACUACUCAUUUAAUUUCUAAUGGCAGUGGUAGUGGUAAGAAUGUUAGUGAGUUAUCAAAUAAAUUUUGUGAUACAUGCCAAAGAGCUAAGCAAACUAGAGAAACAUUUCCAUUGAGCAAUAAUAAAGCUUCUAAUAUAUUUGAUUUGAUACAUUGUGAUUUAUGGGGAGCAUAUAGAACUCCUUCUUCUUGCGGUGCUUCAUAUUUUCUUACUAUUGUCGAUGAUUGCUCGCGUGCAGUAUGGAUUUUUUUACUAGUUGACAAGGAAGAAGUGGCACGAACACUAAUAAAUUUUUUUGCUAUGAUAGAGAGGCAGUAUAACAAAAAGGUUAAAAGUGUUAUAAGCGAUAAUGGAACAGAAUUUAUUUGCAUGAAGAAUUAUUUUGCUGAACAUGGGAUGAUAUUUCAAACCUCUUGUGUGGGAACUCCUUAACAAAAUGGUAGGGUUGAAAGAAAGCAUCUUCAUAUUCUCAAUGUGGCACGAGCUUUGAGGUUCCAAGGAAGUUUGCCCAUUGAUUUUUGGGGUGAGUGUAUCUUGACAGCAGGGUACUUGAUUAAUCGUACUCCAAGCUCAAUAUUGAAUGGGAAAACUCCGUACGAAGUAUUGCACGGAAAACCACCCUCUUACACUCACCUACGCAUAUUUGGUUCAUUAUGUUAUGCGUGCAACCAAGGUACGAAAGGAGACAAAUUUUCAAGUCGCAGUCGUAAGUGUGUCUUCGUAGGAUAUCCUUAUGGCCAAAAAGGAUGUCGAGUCUAUGAUCUCGAGACUUGUGAGUUCUUUGUAUCAAGAGAUGUUGCUUUCUUUGAAACUCAGUUUCCUUUUCAAAAACAAAAAUCUGAACCAACCCCUCCACUCAUCAUUAGUGAAGACAUUGAUGCAGAAAGUUCCAGUGAUCAUCCAAAUAACGAGCAAGGGUCUCUUGAAGAUACAUUUGAACCAAUAACAGAUGCGUUACUUAACGAUAGGGAGGGAACUAAUCGUAUUGAAGUUGUUGUUGAAGAUGAUACUAUUGUUGUUCCUCCAGAAACGCAGGAUGAGAUUGAAUCUUUGGGAAGAGGUUGUCGUGUCAAAUACACAUCUACUCGGCUGAAAGACCAUGUCACGAAUACAGUUCUUAAGUUGAGUCCUCCCUCUCAUUCACCAGCUGAAUGUCAUCCUUCAGGUGCACCCUAUCCUAUUGAACAUUAUGUAAAUUGCGAAAAGUUUUCUUUUCCACAUAAACAAUUCCUUGCUGCCAUUAUUGUGGACAAAGAACCAUUGUAUUUUCAUGAAGCAGUAAAGGAUGUUCGUUGGAGAGAAGCAAUGCAAAUUGAGAUUCAAGCCCUUGAACGCAACAAUACUUGGACUAUGCAACCCCUACCACCCGGAAAGAAAGCUCUCGGGUGCAAAUGGGUUUACCGCAUAAAAUAUCACUCGGAUGGGACAGUUGAACGCUUUAAAGCACGAUUAGUUAUACUUGGAAACCAUCAAGUGGAAGGAAUCAACUACACUGAGACAUUUGCACCAGUCGCAAAAAUGGUCACGGUACACACUGUCUUAGCUGUGGCAUCAGCAAAAGCUUGGGAACUUCAUCAAAUGGAUGUGCACAACGCCUUUCUACAUGGAGAUUUGCACGAGGAAGUCUUUAUGAAAAUGCCUCCUGGUUUUUCAAUAUCACAACCAAACACAGUCUGCAAGCUUCGCAAAUCACUCUAUGGGUUAAAACAAGCUCCAGUUGCUAGUUCGCUAAGCUCUCUGCUGCCCUCAAAUCAUAUGGUUUCCAGCAGUCAUACCUCGACUACUCUUUGUUCACUUUGCAGCAAGAAGGAACUCAACUUGUGGUCCUAGUAUAUGUUGAUGACUUGAUUAUUGCAGGAAAUACUCCUUCUGCUAUCAAGCGAUUUAAGCUCUAUCUUAGCACCUGCUUUCAUAUGAAAGACCUUGGUGUCUUGAAGUAUUUUCUAGGUAUUGAAGUUGCCCGAAAUUCUACAGGGAUCUCUCUUUGUCAACGCAAAUAUGCUCUUGACAUUAUAUCUGAAGCUGGACAUCUAGGUGCUAAACCCGCUGCAACUCCGUUGGAGCAAAACCAUCACUUGUCACUUGCUACGGGGCAAUUUCUCUCCAAUCCUGAGCAAUAUCGACGUUUGGUUGGGCGUUUGAUUUAUUUAUGUUUCACGCGGCCUAAGUUGUCAUAUAGUGUCCACAUUUUAUCUCAAUACAUGCAACAACCUAGAACAGAACAUUGGGAAGCUGCACUUCGAGUAGUUCGCUUCUUAAAAGGUAAUCCGGGACAAGGAAUAUUUUUGGGUAGUGCAUGUGACUUACAGCUCCACGGUUGGUGUGACUCAGACUGGGCCAGUUGUCCCUUGACGCGACGCUCUGUCACUGGUUGGCUAGUGUUGCUUGGUAAAUCUCCUAUUUCUUGGAAAACAAAGAAACAACAUACUGUCUCUCGGUCCUCUGCUGAGGCGGAAUAUAGGUCCAUGGCAACUACUACAUGCGAGUUAAAAUGGUUAAAGGGGAUCCUCUCCAACCUAGGAGUUGCUCAUGAUAAACCCAUGAUUAUUCACUGUGAUAGUCAAGCAACCUUACACAUUGCGAAAAAUCCUGUGUUCCAUGAACGUACCAAGCACAUUGAAGUGGAUUGUCAUUUUGUUCGGAACGAAGUUCUCAAAAACAAUAUAUGUCCGACUUAUGUCUCUACCAUUAUUUUACACCCUUAUUUAUAUUUAGGAUUGAAUUAAAUUAGUAGUAGGUGUAAAAAAAUUUACAUUGUCACUUAAUAGUAAUAGUUAGAUCAUUAUAAAUUGUUGUGAAUUCCGGACAUAAAAUCAUACCAAUACAAACUAUGAUGUGUGGAGCAAAGGAAAAUAGUAACCAAUUUCAAAGUAAAUACAAGCAACAACAAUAUUAACAACACCUAGAUCUAAUCUAGUAAUCAAAGUGAAAAGCACAAAACCACAAACAAAAGAUAAAAAGGAGAGAAGAGAGAAACAAACACACCAAAGAUUGUUCACCCAGUUUGGUCCAAACUUGAAAUACUCUGGAGGAGAGAUUGAUCUCUCCAAUCCACCAUCAAUGAGUUCUUACAAAGAGAUACAAAAGAGUUACAAGAAAUUAGCUUUGACAAGUUCACAAAGAACAACUCUAAUUUCUACCUUUUUUUCCCAAUCUCACCAAUGAAUAAGACACUCAAUGAUUUUUCACUCACCAAGGUGUUUACAAUGUUUCCCAACCCAAGAGAACUCUAAUCAAAGACUCUCAACCCUAAAGUUACCUCCUUUGAUUCCCCAAGUUUUCUCUCUCUUCCAGCUCUCCAUCAAAAUCUGCAAAGAACACUUAUAUAGCAGUCUUCAGCGUCAAAAUUGUGUCACGUUUUCCAUCAAUCGUGUCACGAUUGAUGCGUACGACCCAAUGUACGACCAACCUUAUCCUGAAAAUCUUGCCCAGCAAGCCAAAAAUCGUGUCACGAUUGGACACCCUGAAAACAGCUCUUGACAUUACCAAAAUCGUGACACGCUUGCCAAAUCGUGUCACGAUUUCUCUGCUUCCCAACUUUGCAAUUUGAAGACAUACACAACAAAAAUGUUUGACAUUAAUCAUAUCUAAUAAAAUUGUAUUCAAAAUCGUGGAAAAUAAAAACUUCAUUUUUUGAAAAAGAAAGUAAACAACUAAUGGAAAAUAAAAACUUCAUUUUACACCAGUCCAUAUUUUCUCCUAAUUAUUUUAGACAACACUUUAUAAUCUUGAAGUUGUUCUUCUAUCAUGCUCGAUGUAUCUUUGAAGAGGUACCGGAGCUCGACAUCUCUCUCCUUCAUCUUUGUGUGCAUUUCCUUCAUUUGCAACUCUUUUUCCUUCAACUUGUUACUUUCUUGCACUCUACAUCCCAAUUUUUCUAAAGCCGAAGCUUUUAACUUUGCCGCAUCUUCCAUCAUAGUUAGAUCAACAAUAGCCGAAUGUGUUUCGUUUACUUUUGAUUUUCCCUUUCUUUUUUGUUGCUUUUGUCCCAAUUGGACGAACCACAUUAUUUUCAGUUGGGUUGUAAUCGUAACUUUCUGGCAUGCACGAAUUAGAAGAGGAUGGGUAUGCUCCAGAAGCCGAAGUCUUUGUUCUUUUACUAGCUCCUUCAAGUGAUUGGUUUGACUAUUUAGGUUCAUCUUUUAACAAUCUCCACACAAACUCUUGAUAGAAUAUUAUAUUUAAUAAAAUUAAUAGAAUAUAAUAUUCGGUCAUUAUUGGCUAUUAUUAGUUCCCUGUAAAUAGGCUGUAUCAUAAUUAGUAAGUUGACCAGACGUUACACAAUAGUUGUAUAUAUUCUAUUCAGAUCAAUGAGAAAGGCAAGCAUUUUGUUAUCUUACAUGGUAUCACUCCUAACCGAUCCCUCUCUCUAAUAAAAUAAAAAAAAAAGAAAGAAAGAAAAACACAAAAACAGAGUCGCAGAACUCUGUUCUCCUUCUUCUCACUCACGCACGCACAGUGCCGCCGCGCCCCUCCCUCUUCCUUUGCGCCGCCGCCGCCUCUGUUGCCAUGUAAUCCGAUCGAUCUUCGAUCCUUGACCAGCAGUGCUCGUGCGUCCCUUCCUCCACUUCGACCGUGCCCACUGCGCCGUCAUCGCCCCCUUUCUCAAUCUGGUUGUGUUUCACCUCCGAUCACCUCCGUUUCUCAUUUUUCUAUGCUGUUCUACCUUAACCAUCACUCAUCAUGUUCGAUUCCGACCUCAACGAUGAUCAGAGCAGCGCCGCCGCCUCUGCCUUCGCCGCUGCCGCCGCCGCUGCUGUCAAUUCGAUCAUUUUCAAAAAUGGCUUUCAUCCCGCUCUUGUUGUCUCUAAUAUUAGGAACCACAUUCCUAUUAGUCUUGAGUUGGAAAAGGACCAAUAUGGAACCUGGGCGGAACUCUUCUGCAUUCAUGCUCGUUCUCAUCGAGUAUUGCAUCACAUUGUUCCCUCUACAGACAAAGCACCGCCACUACCUGCAGACGCCGAAUAUGAGCAAUGAACCACUCUAGAUGCCACCGUGCUUUAGUGGAUUUAUUCCACAAUUUCCACUGACUUACUGAUGACUAUUUUGGAACCAAACUCCACUGCGGUAGCCGCAUGGAAUUGUUUGGUAGACAUCUUUCAAGACAAUCAAAACGCCCGUGCUGUCACUCUCGAGCAAGAGUUCUCUAACACCCGCAUGGAAGACUUUCCCAACGUCUCUGCAUACUGCCAGCGUCUCAAGAUGCUCUCUGACCAAUUGAGGAAUGUCGGCUCUCUCGUCAACAAUCACCGUCUGGUACUCCAACUGAUAUCUGGACUCCCUGAAGCUUAUCGUAGUGUGGCCACCCUGAUUCGCCAGAGUAAUCCUCUUCCUGCAUUUUAUCAGGCUCGCUCCAUGCUCACCUUGGAAGAAGCUGGCAUGGCUAAAAUGGCUAACACCGGCUCUCCUGCUGCCUUACACACCACUCAGCAGUGACCUCCUGAGGAUACCUCUCAACGUGGCAACCGUCGUCCCAACAACCCCAACAAUCGGUCUCGCUCUCGUGGCAAUCAGGGUCGCGGAGGGGGGUGUGGUAACCGUAGCGGACCUCAGUCUGGAGCUCCCAACACCUCCCCACCCUGGUCUUCUCCUCCUUGGCCGCAGCAAUAACAAUACCCUGCCUGGCAAUCAUGGGGUUGGACCCCACCACCAUGGGCCAUACCUCCGUGUCCGUAUCCCACAUCUUAGUGGACACGCCCUACUGGCCGUACCGCUCCUCCGAGACAGUCGGCCAUCCUAGGACAGCGUCCUCAGGCGUAUGCAGCUUCUACUUCAUCUCUUACACCAACUGACAUUGAGGCAGCUAUGCACACCAUGUCUCUACAUCCUCCUGAUACUCAGUGGUACAUGGAUACCGGCGCAACAUCUCACACGACAGCAUCACGAGGUAAUCUCUCAUCUUAUUCUCCUAUAAGUCAUUUAAAUCAGAAAAUUAUUGUUGGCAGUGGCCAUGGAAUUCCAAUUCACGGCACCGAACACACACAACUCACAACCUCUAACCAACCCAUUCACUUAAAACAUGCCCUUCAUGCCCCAAAAAUUAUUAAAAAUUUAAUCUCUGUAAGACAACUCACCACUGACAACAAUGUAUCUGUUUCUUUUGACCCUUUUGGUUUUACUGUCUCUGAUUUUCAGACGGGGAUUCCUCUUCUCAGAUGUAAUAGUCGUGGCGACCUAUAUCCAGUCACCCCUCCCAACAAUUUUGUCGAUCUUACGUCCAGUCUAUGGCACGAUCGUCUUGGUCAUCCUGGCGUGUCUGUUUUAAAUUCCCUACGCAAGAAUAAAUUCAUAUGUUGUGAAACUUCUCAUAAUUCUGUCAUCUAUGACUCGUGUGUUUUAGGCAAACAAGUUAAAUUGCCAUUUUUUAAUUCUCAAACUGCUACUCUCAUGCCUUUUGAUAUUUUACAUAGUGACUUGUGGACUUCUCCUGUUUUAAGUUCUGCUGGCCAUAAAUAUUAUGUUUUAUUUUUAGACGACUUCACAAAUUUCUUGUGGACCUUUCCUAUUAGUAGAAAAUCUCAGGUUUUUGAAAUGUUCAAGUCACUUACUUCUCUUAUUCACACUCAAUUUUUGCAAAAUGUAAAAUCCUUCCAGUGUGACAAUGGCGGUGAAUAUAAUAAUGAGCUAUUUCAACAAUAUUGUACUACUAAUGGCCUUAUUUUUCGCUUCUCUUGCCCUCACACAUCCUCCCAAAAUGGGAAAGCGGAACGAAAAAUAAGAACCAUUAAUAAUAUGAUUCGCACUAUGCUAGCUCACUCUUCUGUUCCCCCACAAUUUUGGCAUCAUGCACUUCACAUGGCAACUUAUUUGCUAAAUAUUCUUCCCUGUAAAACACUUCAAAAUCAAUCACCAACACAGCUCCUUUACCACCGUGAUCCCAGCUACACACAUUUACGAGUCUUUGGUUGUCUGUGUUAUCCAUUACUCCCAUCACCUACCAUUCAUAAAUUACAACCCCGUUCUACUCCGCGUGUCUUCUUAGGUUAUCCCCUGAAUCAUAGAGGUUACAAGUGUUUUGAUUUGUCUAACAGAAAGUUAAUAAUUUCGAGGCAUGUUAUCUUUGGUGAAACUCAAUUUCCCUUCACCAAAAUACACUACCCUUCCCCUCACUCAUAUGACUUUCUAGACAACGACUUACACCCCUACCUCAUACAACAGUGGCAAACUCAACAUCCACCACCGGAUACUCCUAACGAACCACCAGCAACAACCACAAUGGCCCAACCAAUCGACCCAACUCCACUAAAUUCACAUACUACAAUCUCCCCUACCUUAAUCUCACCAAUUCAACCACAUCUUCCACCACCUACUCGCACCAUCAUCACCCGUAGCAUGAAGGGUAUUACUAAACCCCGCACAAUGUUUAACUUAUCCCUUUCACACUCAAACCACACCAUCUCUCCCAUACCUAAAAAUCACAAACUAGCCUUAUCGGACCCGAAUUGGAAAUCUGCAAUGCAAUCUGAGUUUGAUGCACUUAUUAGAAAUAAGAUGUGGGAUUUAGUUCCUCGCCCUAGAGAUGCUAAUCUUAUUCGAUGUAUGUGGAUUUUUAAACAUAAGAAAAAUUUUGAUGGGUCUUUUGAGCGCUAUAAGGCUCGCCUUGUUUGUGAUGGCAGGUCACAGGUUGCAGGUGUGGAUUGUGAUGAGACUUUCAGCCCGGUGGUAAAACCCGCUACCAUUCUAACAUUACUCACCAUUGCUCUCUCUCACUCAUGGCCCAUUCAUCAGCUGGAUGUUCAGAAUGCUUUUUUGCAUGGUGAUCUUCACGAAACUGUCCACAUGCAUCAACCAUUGGGUUUUCACGACUCUCGUCAUCCGGACUACGUUUGUCGUUUGAAGAAGUCGCUUUAUGGUCUCAAGCAAGCGCCUCGAGCAUGGUACCAACGCUUUGCUGACUAUGUAAUUACCAUUGUUUUUCGACAUAGCACAUCAGAUCAUUCUCUCUUCAUAUACCGACAGCAAUCCGACAUGGCCUACAUUCUGCUCUAUGUGGACGACAUUAUCCUUAUUACUUCCACUCAUGCCCUUCGCCAAUCCAUUAUGUCCCUCUUGGCAUCCGAGUUUGCAAUGAAGGAUUUGGGUCCCCUGAGCUAUUUUUUGGGUAUUGCCGUCUCUCGUCAUCCUGGUGGUCUCUUUCUCAGUCAAAGCACCUAUGCCUCUGAAAUCAUUGAUCGUGCUGGGAUGCAAUCUUGCAAAUCAUCUGCCACCCCUGUUGAUACUAAACAAAAACUCAGCAUUUCAUCAGGCACACCUUAUGAAGAUCCAUCUCUCUAUCGUAGUCUUGCAGGAGCUUUACAAUACCUCACAUUCACUAGACCCGACAUCUCUUACGCUGUUUAGCAAGUUUGUCUUCACAUGCAUGCACCUAGUACAGAACACAUGCUUGCUCUAAAACUCAUUCUUCGUUAUGUUCAGGGUACCGUACAUUUUGGACUACAUUUAUCACCAUCUCCCAUCACCAAACUCCUUUCCUACACUGACGCCGAUUGGGGUGGAUGUCCUGACACCUGACGUUCCACUUCUGGAUACUGUGUCUUUCUCGGUGACAACCUCAUCGCUUGGUCCUCCAAGAGACAACCCACUCUCUCUCGGUCUAGUGCUGAAGCGGAAUAUAGAGGUGUUGCUAAUGUUGUGUCUGAGUCAUGUUGGCUUCGUAAUCUCUUACAGGAGCUCCACUUUCCUAUUCCUCAGGCUACUUUGGUGUAUUGUGACAAUGUUAGUGCCAUCUACCUAUCUGGCAACCCUGUGCAGCAUAUCAACGUACCAAACACAUUGAAAUGGACAUACACUUUGUACGGGAAAAAGUAGCUCGUGGUCAGGCACGUGUCCUCCAUGUUCCAUCUCGACAUCAGAUUGCAGAUAUCUUCACCAAAGGGCUUCCCCGCAUUCUCUUUGAUGAUUUUCGGACCAGUCUCAGCGUCCGUGAACCUCCCGCUUCGACUGCGGGGGUCUGAUAGAAUAUUAUAUUUACUAAAAUUAAUAGAAUAGAAUAUUCGGUCAUUAUUGGCUAUUAUUAGUUCCCUGUAAAUAGGUUGUAUCAUAAUUAGUAAGUUGACUAGACGUUACACAAUAGUUGUAUAUAUUCUAUUCAGAUCAAUGAGAAAGGCAAGCAUUUUGUUAUCUUACAACUCUAACAUGAAACAUUCAUGUGUAUAUUGAGUAUAGAUUAAUAUGCAUCUCCCAUGACAUCACUCUAAGCUACCACUUUUUUUCUUCUUGGAUAGGCUUGCUUGUAGCACCCUCCAAAUUUUUUAAUUAUGGAAUUCACCUUCGACCAUCGAGAUUUUAGUUGUACUGGUCCCUUUGCAAGGAAAUAACCACAAUGUUCAUUAUAACCAUCUGCAAUUCUUUUGCCAAAAAACAUUUGCUCUUUGAUUUACCCCUGUACAACUGCAUCCUUAGAAAUAUUUAGCCAUGAUUGGAUGAGGAGUUUAUCUUCCUCUGGGGUGAACCUUACUCUUUGCUGUUUUUGAGUUGCAUGGUCUUCCUCAUUGAGCACAAUACUGUCUGGCCCAACUUGAGCAGAAGAUGGUGGAGUAUGAACUUUUUGUGCAAAGUUUGACAUUGUUUCAUGCUUUUUUCAUAAUCAGCGACGGUGUUAGUUGGUGGUGAUUGAAACAUGGGAAAUUGUUAUGGAAAUGGGGGUCUAGAAAAUGAAAAAAAUAUUAGUAUUUUGAGUUUGAAAAGGACGAGUUUGAAGAUUGAGAGGAUUUUGAAAAUUUGAAGAAGAGGGAGAUUGAUGAUUUUGCAUUAUAUUGAAAAAAGGGUUAUUUUGAAGGAGUAAUUAAAUACAAGAAUUAUCAACCGCUAAUUGUGUAAAAUUUCCAACGACUAUUGAUGCUACAUGCAAAUUCAAAUUCAACUAUUAUCUGCAACUAUUAUAUAAUUUAUUUUUUAAUAUUAAAAUAAUACAAUAAUUCAAUAUAGAGAAAAAAUAAAAUUAAUUGUAUAUGUGUGACCCAACAAUAGGAGAGAGAUAGUGCAUAUAAAAACACCAAUCUUUAUGAGUAUCAUAUUCAUUGAUAUCACAAUAGGGUGUUUGUUUAACAUGAUGCUAAAUAAGGGAACAAGAAGGUAUCAAAAUAAAAUUCUUAUAUUUAAUGGUUGUUUAGUUUAACAUGCUUUUCAAUCUAUCUUUCUAAAAUUUCCUAAUGAAAAAAAAUAAAAUUGGCAGCACUUUGACCAUAGAGUGCUGACUGUGGCUUAACACACAACUUGGACCAAUUUGGUUGGACAGUGUAUUUUAAUACAUUAUCCAAAAGCAUCAAAUCUAGGCUUGUGGAGAAUAUGCUUCUUUGUUACCAAGUUUUUUUUUUUUUUUUUUUGUUACAUGUUACCAAGUUUUCUGGAAGGCAGCUUUAUGGAUGAUUUUUAAAAUUUAAUUACUAUGAAAAUAUCGAAAUUAUUGGAUGAUAUUUAAGUAGAUUUCUAAACAAGAAAAAAUAUAUUCCUAAAAUAAAAAAUUAUUGAAAAAUUAGUGGAAUAUGCUUCUUUAAGUUUGUUAAUACUCUAUUUAUAAUUAGAUCGUUGAACUUUUAAACAAUGGAAAAUGUUAACAAAUAUCCUUAGAAUAUUGUUUAAGAAAAUAAAAAGAAUAAUUUUUGCAUAGAAAAUAAUGUAAUUAUUACUUUGAGACUACUUUGCUCUUAUGACACCUGUUAACACGACAUUUAAACAACUAUUGAAAAAUUAUGAUUCCAUUUACAAAUUUUUGUAACUUCGAAAACUAUAUGAAAGUAUCUAAAUAAUUGAAGCAACUUGUAUGUACCUGCCAAUGCCAAAGUCCUGUGUGUGCCCAAUACUUUGGAAUAGUCACAUCUCCAAUUUGGAAUCUAGAAUUUAAAUUACCUGCAAUUCCAUAAUGUAGAACUCCUUCUAUAUUAAAUAAAGUAAGCAACAAUUGAGUUGCAAGACCUGCAUUUAGCUACACAAAAAGAAAGCAAAAGACUAAGAAAAAAGAAAGAAAUAUAACCAGAAGUUUAAGUAAAUGCAUAAGCAAGAAGAAAUUUAGCUUACCAUACCCUCUCCACUCAUAACAACAAUAACCUUCUUCUUUUCCAAUUCACCAAUCCGAAAAUGUCUUCCUACAUCAUCAAAUUUACCAAAAAUCAAUUGACGUCGUAAUGUUCUAUCAUAAAUUUAAAAUUUUAUUGCUAUUGGUGUUAAUGAGCAUCUCAAACUUAAGAACAACUAGUACUCAUCACAAAAAUCUAAUGAACUAGUUUGGAUAUAAAUGGAUGCAGAAAGAGAAAGAAUGCAUCAUAUGCAUAAGUAAUUAUGUAUACAAAUAUAAUCAAAUGUUGUAAAAAUUACCAGCAAAGUCAAAGUAUGGAAACUUGUUAUGUGGCACAAAGCUUGAUGAAUGAAGAAGAGGGUUCAACUCAUAGGCAUUUGGCACAACUAUACCAAUAGAUGGUCCUUCGUUAUUAAUAUUGCUGAUUUCUCUCCAAGAAAGUUGAUUAAUGGCACCAUAGGCAUAAAUGCUAUUUCCCAAUAAUACAAUCAUCACAAGGACACCUAGAAGAAACUCCAUUCUCCUCCAAUGGUUAUCUUUCAAGUGGUUCAAAAAUUAAAAUAUACAAUUGCCCACAUGGUUGUGAAAGUAUUAAAUAAUGUCACACAAGAAAUGAACAAAAUAAAGAUAGAAUAAAUUUGGAUAUGAUUUCAUGCAUGGAGUCAAUCAAUCAUUUUUUUAUAUCAACAUCAUAAAAUAAAUGUGACAUUAAUUUAUUUGUGAAGUCCAGACAAUAUGCCCCCACCCCACAUAGACUAGGCUAUGCUUUUUGAAUAGAUGUCAACCUCUUAAAUAAAUAUCAAUUACUCCAUCCGUUUUUAAGUAUAAGCAAAUUUUAUUUCUUAAGUUCAUUCAAUUAAUAAUGUAUGUGGUUUAUAAUAUGGACCACAUACAUCAUUAAUUGAAUAAACUUAAAAAGUAAAAUUUGCUUAUAUUUAGAAACGGAGGGAGUAUCUUGUUAGUGUUUACGGUUGUGCAUGUGACCCUUUGUUCACUAAAAAGACAACAAAUAGUUAAGAAUGCCACAGUUAUUUCAACUUGAGCUUCAACUUGCUAACGUUGAUUUCGAGGUUGCUUUGGAAAGAGUAGCUGAUUAUUUCAACAAAGGUUGAGGAGAUGUCACUAAAUUUGUUUCCAUCAUGGAUAGUUGUAUCCAAUUCUGUAGGAGGCAAGCAAAUGAGGUUGCACAAGAAUUAACUAAGGCAGCCACAUCUAAUACUAGUUUACGUAUCUUUGAUAAAAUUUCAACAUGUAUUACUGAUUUAAUUUUUAAUGAAAUGAUAUAAGUUACUUUCCCUAAAAUAAGUGCCGCAUUUAAUAAAACAUUCAAUUGAGGAGAUGACAAUACUAUUGCAUUUCAAAUUCAAAAAAUAAGUAGAUUUCAUUAUGCUUUUAUUUUGAGUACAUAAUACAAGAGAAAAAUUGAAACACAUCAUUUCUUUCUCCCUCUUAUAAUAACCCUUGCUUAUACAUUAAGAAAGGGAUUAAAGCUACUAAAUUAUAAUAAAGAUAUGAAUUUGACAAGAACAUCAAAUGCAUUUUGAGAGGCUAAUGAUAUGAAAAUAGAUACUUCAUUGCUCAAUGCAGAACCUCCUCCAGCUAAAUCAGACAAUGCUCUAAUGGCAAUGAAAGGUAUUUUGUGUUGGAAACAAACUAAAGCAACUGCAGCACUUUCCAUGUCUGUUGGAGUAGCAUCAAAUUUGCUGUUCAAAUGAUCUCUAUAAGCUUUAUUGUCAACAAACAUAUUGGCACUUACUCCUUUCUUUACUCUUACAACCAUAGGCUUUCUUGGCAAGCAUGUUGUGUUAACACAUAUACUCAAUUCAACAUUCUGUGGAGAAUAAGCGAAAUGUUAGCCACAAACAAUUAUAUAUUUUCAUCUGUGUAGUGGCUGAAAUAAGAGUUAGCUUGUGUAUAUCACACUUAACCAAUCAAAUCUGAAUCGUUCGAUCAAGAUUGGUUAGUGUAGAUUUCAAGUUCGGUAUGUUAUAAUUAAAAAAAAUCAAAAUAUGUAUUGAAAUUUAGACCGUCAUUAUAACUCCAGGUAGUCACACUAAACAUAGUCUAAAUC